GUCGUGAGAUGUUGGGUUAAGUCCCGCAACGAGCGCAACCCUCGCUUCCAGUUGCUACCGGGUAAAGCCGAGGACUCUGGAAGGACUGCCGGUGCCAAACCGGAGGAAGGUGGGGACGACGUCAAGUCAUCAUGGCCCUUACGUCUAGGGCUACACACGUGCUACAAUGGACCGUACAAAGGGUUGCGAAGCCGCGAGGUGGUGCCAAUCCCAGAAAGCGGUCCUCAGUUCGGAUUGUAGUCUGCAACUCGACUACAUGAAGCCGGAAUUGCUAGUAAUCGUGGAUCAGCAUCGCCACGGUGAAUACGUUCCCGGGCCUUGUACACACCGCCCGUCACGCCAUGGAAGCUGCGAGCGCCCGAAGUCGGUGUUGGAACCCGUAAGGGGCCAAGCCGCCGAAGGCGAGCGCAGUGACUGGGGCGAAGUCGUAACAAGGUAGCCGUAGGGGAACCUGCGGCUGGAUCACCUCCUUUCUGGAGCGAUGAGUAGACUGCCCUCGGGUAAUCGAAAAUCCUCAAGAAUUGUCGCUCGACUCGUACAACUCCUCUCUUCGAUCUCGAUUGCUCAACGGCAAGGCGCGCAGGCCCAUCAGGGGCAACUCUGAUGGGCCUGUGUCGCCACCUGCUAUUUGAAAAAUGAUCAUGGAUGAGUAGAUCGUGGGAUAUGAAUUCUCAUCGAGCUCGGACUAGGGGUGUGCGGUUGACUCUGCACACGUCGAAUGCCGGGAUCGAUAGUGAUUGCAAUGAUCAGAGAGUUGAUCAGUAGGGAAUGCUCUGCUUGCGCAAAGGUGGUGUUUGCGGGUGAAACGACUUUGUAGUCAAGCGAGUGAAGGCAUGUGGAGGAUGCCUGGGCACACGGAGGCGAGGAAGGCCGCGGUAAGCUGCGAUAAGCCAGGGGGAGCGGCACACACGCACUGAUCCCUGGAUGG
Molecule: small RNA, 928 nt
Filed under: uncultured Gemmatimonas sp.
Lineage: Bacteria; Pseudomonadati; Gemmatimonadota; Gemmatimonadia; Gemmatimonadales; Gemmatimonadaceae
Description: bacterial SSU rRNA
Rfam family: Bacterial small subunit ribosomal RNA (bases 1-473)
Source: RNAcentral